RNAcentral lists this ribosomal RNA (431 nucleotides) under uncultured bacterium. RNAcentral's name for it is "partial 16S ribosomal RNA". It matches the Rfam family "Bacterial small subunit ribosomal RNA", at positions 29 to 505 of the family's 1533-position model. The record is from RNAcentral.
AACGAACGCUGGCGGCAUGCCUAACACAUGCAAGUCGAACGAGACCUUCGGGUCUAGUGGCGCACGGGUGCGUAACGCGUGGGAACCUGCCCUUAGGUUCGGAAUAACUCCCCGAAAGGGGUGCUAAUACCGGAUAAUGUCUUCGGACCAAAGAUUUAUCGCCUUUGGAUGGGCCCGCGUUGGAUUAGCUAGUUGGUAGGGUAAAAGCCUACCAAGGCGACGAUCCAUAGCUGGUCUGAGAGGAUGAUCAGCCACACUGGGACUGAGACACGGCCCAGACUCCUCCGGGGGGCGGGAGGGGGGAAUAUUGGCAAAGGGGCGAAAGCAGGACCCAGCAAUGCGGGGGGAGGGAUGAAGGCUUUGGGGUUGAAAACCUCUUUUACCCGGGAGGAUAAUGCCAGAACGGGGAAAAAAAGCUCGGGCUACCCCCG